This 77-nucleotide transfer RNA is filed under the name Parafrankia sp. Ea1.12. Its description in RNAcentral is "Frankia sp. Ea1.12 tRNA-Met". It matches the Rfam family "tRNA". Rfam says of the family: Transfer RNA (tRNA) molecules are approximately 80 nucleotides in length. Their secondary structure includes four short double-helical elements and three loops (D, anti-codon, and T loops). The record is from RNAcentral. Lineage: Bacteria; Bacillati; Actinomycetota; Actinomycetes; Frankiales; Frankiaceae. RNAcentral also lists the same sequence under 5 other names.
CGCGGGGUGGAGCAGCUCGGUAGCUCGCUGGGCUCAUAACCCAGAGGUCGCAGGUUCAAAUCCUGCCCCCGCUACUA